RNAcentral lists this ribosomal RNA (138 nucleotides) under uncultured eukaryote. RNAcentral's name for it is "partial 18S ribosomal RNA". It matches the Rfam family "Eukaryotic small subunit ribosomal RNA", at positions 1299 to 1458 of the family's 1831-position model. The record is from RNAcentral.
UGGUGGAGCGAUUUGUCUGGUUAAUUCCGAUAACGAACGAGACUCUGGCCUAUUAAAUAGUUCGCCGAUUUCGAUCUGUCGGCGUUAACUUCUUAGAGGGACAAGUGGCUUUUAGCCACGCGAGAUUGAGCAAUAACA